CCGUCAGGCAUCGCGAGCGCGCUGGACGGCGGGAAGGGCCGCAUCAAGGUGCUCUAUUCAGCCUCCUCCUCUGGUUUCGCAAACUGCAGAACACCAGCGUGCCUACAAAUUGAAAUCGGUGCCUCACAAGCGGCACAAUCAGUAGGAUGAAAUAGACUGCACGGAUGCUUUAUUUUUGCUGCAUCAAUCAUAGCGCCACAUGUGUGUUCUCUUCAUUUUAGGAGUAGGAAGCGAUGCCCCUUGCUUGUUUAGAAGCAUCUGGUGUCUGUCACCAACUUAAUCUAGUUUUAUUAGUAUGUAGUUUGAACUAGCCUGUGUCAAGUUUUAUUAGUAUGUACUGGAGUAGUAGUUUGAACCAUCUUCAGUGGAGAUGGCACCUACAUACGUAUAAACUAGAAACCAGGAAUGACCUAUUCCAAAAAAUACCGAAAAAUGGGCUUGUGUUUCAGUCUUUAUGCCCAACUCCAGCCUGUGUUUCAGUAAUGCACAACACUAUUUGCUAUGACCAAGCUGCAAAGCAUCUGCAUUACAAAACCGCGAUUUAAGAUUAAGGCAAAUGGAAUGCACUAGAUAAACACAGAUCGAAUAGGUUUUCUACACUUAGGCACAUGUCUACACUCAGGCACAUGUCUGCUAGCUGCAUGCAUGUACAUGCAUCUUCUGAAAUAGAGUGAUUGGUUUGAAUUCAAGUGCAGAAUAUAUGCAAAUGGCUGCUAGCUGUACAUAUUAAUUGACUCUGUCCAGUGUCGAUUUCUUCAGUGUACUACUGCUAGUGUCGACUGAAAAUGGAUUCAUUCCUUCUUACGCACUGCACUGUACUGUAGUAUAUGUCAUUUUCGAAUUAAUACUCCAAAAUUUAUUAGUAUUGGAGGAUUGAUUGUUUCCAAAUCAAUACUCCUAGGCAUCAUUCAUGGCUGUCUAGUAGUCGACAUACUUCUGGUUCCAUUUAGUGUAUGCAGGUAGCAGCAGCUUAAGUGUAAUGGAGUUGUUUUGUUACUCUAUGCCUACUUCGUUAGAGUUAGCAUCAUCUCCUUGUCAUUUAUAGCAUAAACGCCUUCACUAUUCUUGCUCUGAACCUCUGAUCCUGAUACUGAUUGUAUUUGUCUUGAUGGAAUUACAAGCAACAUGGUGACUCUAGUGCAGGCAGCGUUGGCCAUCCUCUUCGAGGCUGUGUUUAGGACGAGCUGCAGCAGGACAACCUGGAGCGGAAGAACUUCGAGGGCAAUAUCAAGGAGAACCAGGAGACGAUCACCGGUUACCUCAUCCUCGUCGGCAUGCUUGGCUCCUUUGGCAGACCCCUCUUUGGCUCCGACCAACUUACUUUUGUCGCUGGCUAGCAGCAUUUCCAGGUGUUGUGUUCUAGAAGAUGGAAGAGGAAGAGGAACAUGUGAUACUAUUUUGUAGGGCUUUAUGGCCUGUGAUGUAAACAUAUUUAGUGAUGAAUUAUGAAAUUAUUUGCAAAAUUUAUUGAAAAGGAGAAUCAUUAGU
Molecule: long non-coding RNA, 1488 nt
Organism: Aegilops tauschii subsp. strangulata
Lineage: Eukaryota; Viridiplantae; Streptophyta; Magnoliopsida; Poales; Poaceae
Source: RefSeq, a predicted model, not a curated record